Molecule: long non-coding RNA, 482 nt
Organism: Neogale vison (American mink)
Lineage: Eukaryota; Metazoa; Chordata; Mammalia; Carnivora; Mustelidae
Exons: 2
Source: RefSeq, a predicted model, not a curated record
GCCACCUCCCCGGGGCACCAAGGAGCCUUUGUCUCUUUCUCCCAGGGCUCUGGGCGCAGGCCGACCUUCCUCCUAACACCGAUUUGUAAUAUCAUGGAUUUUGGAGCUGGGAUCCAGCUUUUAGUCUUUUAAUGGGUCUUACCAAAGAGAAAGAGAGAGAGGUCAUUCCGGACUCCUGCCGCCGCCAGUCCCUCGGUGAGACGUGAGCGCCAUUGGCGUCCGUGGCCUCUGUUUCCGUGGCAACCCAGUAACCAUUAAUUUUCAAUUAAAGGAGACAAAAAGCUCCAUGACAGCUCCAGGUCUGCUGAAGAUGUCAAGAAUCUGUAUUAAUAUACAGCAAGAGAGCAUAAUUGUGUGUCCAUCUUCCAGAGCAGGGAAAAAUGGAGGGAUAAUUACCAGCUCGAAAGCCACUCUGUAAUUUACUUCUUACUGUCACCACAGCCCUACACAUUAGCAUAAAUUAAAAGCAGAGUUUAUUGUUA